UACGUAGGGGGCAAGCGUUGUCCGGAAUCAUUGGGCGUAAAGAGCGUGUAGGCGGCUCGGUAAGUCCGCUGUAAAAGUCCAGGGCUCAACCCUGGAAAGCCGGUGGAAACUGUCGAGCUAGAGUCCGGAAGAGGCGAGUGGAAUUCCUGGUGUAGCGGUGAAAUGCGCAGAUAUCGGGAGGAACACCAGUAGCGAAGGCGGCUCGCUGGGCCAUUCCUGACGCUGAGACGCGAAAGCUAGGGGAGCGAACAGG
RNAcentral lists this ribosomal RNA (253 nucleotides) under uncultured bacterium. RNAcentral describes it as "partial 16S ribosomal RNA". It matches the Rfam family "Bacterial small subunit ribosomal RNA", at positions 524 to 776 of the family's 1533-position model. The record is from RNAcentral.